ACUGAUUUCGUUGCAUGUUGUGUUUUUUCUUCUUCAGUGUAAAUAAAUUGUAUUGUACCUCUUCUAUGAGCUGAAUGAAACAUUCAUGGAAUGUACAAUUUAUUAUAUUCUUACUAGGCUAACGUUACACAGCAUUUUUCCUUAACUGGUCUUUUUUAAGCUAUGUUUUAGCCAGGUCAGGAGCCCUUUGUGAGCAGCAGGAGCCCUAGGCUGAGCCACUGUAGAGAAAAUAAUCAAUGGUGUGCAGAGUUGUCACACCGCCUUGUGCACACUGGAUGAACUCAACGUUACUCAGCACACAACGGCUGCACAUUUAUGGCGUUUGUGAGGGUGAGGAACUGUGGAGACUUCUGCCAGGCACAGCACCAGCACCUGGUCAUUGUGGACAAAUUUUGGAGUAUUUUUCUCUACUGCUGGACUGUUCACCCUCUCCUGGAAGACUGCCUUCUCCAACUGUCUGUCAAGAUGAAUCGCCCCGCCCCUGUUGAGUUCACCUAUGCGUGUAUGAAGUUUCUGAUCACCCACAACCCCACCAACUCCCAGCUGGUGAAAUUUAUAGAGGUACAGUAUUAACUCCUAUAAUACAUAUCCCCAUAUGCUUUGUAUUCACAUGAAGCAUUGUGUUAUUUGAGUUUAUAGCGUUUUCUUUUGUCAAGCCAGAUUGGAAUGUACUGAAAAACAGACAAUAUCUUGAUUACUAACCUAAAACACUUCAAUUCAUUUAUAAUCAGGACCUCAAUGCUUUUGGUGUGCAGACACUAGUUAGAGUAUGUAAUGCCACUUACGACCAAACCCCUGUGGAGCAGGAAGGCAUCACUGUUGUGGUAAGACAACUUUUGUUCUCUUCUGCCAUGAUGUUAACCCAUCAGAGACCUUCAGAUUUGUUUGGAGCUUCAGGCAUUCUGGUUCCAAUUGUCCACUGUAUCUACAUGACAUCUAGGUCUAUCUUUUUCCUAAUGAUGGAGGUUGCAUGAAAGCGUUAGGCCUAUCAAUUACGCUACCUAAUAAAUUGAUCCAUUAAUGGAGCCUAAAUCCAACCAUAUGUUUUCCUCAAACAGGAUUGGCCCUUUGAUGAUGGUUCUUCCCCCACCUGAACAUGUCGUUGAUGACUGGUUCAACCUCCUCAAGUGUAAAUUCCGAGACGAACCCGGUUGUUGCAUUGCAGUGCAUUGUAUUGUGUGGCGGGGUU
Salvelinus sp. IW2-2015 is the source of this 1189-nucleotide long non-coding RNA. RefSeq lists it as uncharacterized. Lineage: Eukaryota; Metazoa; Chordata; Actinopteri; Salmoniformes; Salmonidae. The record is from RefSeq and is a predicted model, not a curated record.